RNAcentral lists this transfer RNA (69 nucleotides) under Rattus norvegicus (Norway rat). It matches the Rfam family "tRNA". Rfam says of the family: Transfer RNA (tRNA) molecules are approximately 80 nucleotides in length. Lineage: Eukaryota; Metazoa; Chordata; Mammalia; Rodentia; Muridae. The record is from Rfam by way of RNAcentral.
GGGGAUUUAGCUCAGUGGCAGAGCACUUGCCUAGCAAGCACAAGGCCCUGGGUUCGUUCCCCAGCUCCG